Molecule: long non-coding RNA, 949 nt
Filed under: Anneissia japonica
Lineage: Eukaryota; Metazoa; Echinodermata; Crinoidea; Comatulida; Comatulidae
Description: uncharacterized LOC117105414, transcript variant X5
Source: RNAcentral
AAGGAAAUAUUGAACAGUAUAACAAACAGAUGCAAUCAUUUUAUUCUUAGACACAGCAUUAAAUUUGGACGGUUUCACACUUAUUUUGAAGAUCAUAAAAGUUGCAAAACACUGCAUUAAAUUUGGACGGUUUCAUACUGAAUUUGAAGACUAUAAAAGUUGCAAAGGAAGUAGAUUGAAAGAACUUCAUACCAACAUCUAUAGAAGCUUUCAGAGGGGACACAAGCCAAAGAUUAUAAAAGUUGCAAAGGAAGUAAAAUUGAAAGAACUUCAUACCAACAUCUAUAGAAGCUUUCAGAGGGGACACACAAACCAAAGACACUGCAUUGAAUUUGGACGGCUUCAUACUGAAUUGAGACUAUAAAAGUUACAAAGGAAGCAACAUUGUAAGAACUUCUAACCAACGCCUGUAGAAGCUUUCAGAGGAGCCACAAACCAAAGAAAAAUAUGGAAUACGUUUGGCUGUUUUUCUGCACACUAAUUUGCGUACAUUUUAAUCACGUCUCAACAAACUCCUCCCCCAAAAUGACUACAAUUAUUGCAACCACACCAUCAUCAACAACUGGAGACACCACAGCAGGCUGGAAUACAACCACACCAGACAAUGGAUCCAACAGAUUAUCUGGUGGUGCGAAAGCCGGCAUUAUUUGUGCUUCAAUAUUUGUAUAUUUUGUGGGACUGUGAUUGUUGUACCUUGUUUAAGAAUAAAAAAUCUAGCCAAAAUAACGCCACAGGCUUAACCAUUUACAUAGAAGCCGUACAAAAAAAACAAAACAAUUAACACAAAAUAUGUUCGAUAUGUUAAAUAUUUUUGUGGUAGUAGUAGUAAUAGAAUUUAAGGUGUUUGAAACAUUUAAUUGCGGUAAUUAAGCUAUGGGAAUUGGAUGAACAUUUUCCAACAGAACGUUUUGGUUUUGGCUUAAGGAUAAUGAUGAAGGCAUAAUGAUAA